This is a long non-coding RNA of Aedes albopictus (Asian tiger mosquito), 1235 nucleotides long. RefSeq lists it as uncharacterized. The transcript has 2 exons. The record is from RefSeq and is a predicted model, not a curated record. NCBI's taxonomy places the organism in Eukaryota, Metazoa, Arthropoda, Insecta, Diptera, Culicidae.
GGGAAUCUCAACUGAAGGCUUGGUAGAUAUCCCUGAAAUAAUCACAGAAGAAAUCCCGGGGGGAAUUGCUGUAUAAAUCAUGAGCGAGGAUCCCGGCUCAUGAAAAGAAUUCCAUUAGGAUUCUCUGAAUAUGUUUCGACAGAACAUUUUGAAAGUAUACUAAAAUGAAUUCCAGAAGAAAUCCGUGAAAGAAUGCUGGGUAAAAUUUCUGAAAAAAUCCUUUCAGGAUUUUCUAAAGCAAUUCUGGCAGAAAUCCCUGAAGUUAUUCCUGAAGGAAUCCCGUAAAGAAUACCUGAUGUAUAUAUUAGAGAGAUCAUGACAGGAAUGCCGGCCAGAAGCUGAACAGACAUUUCUGCAAGAACCAUAGAAGAUGUCUCUAUGAUCUAGGGUUGCCUGAAAACAAUCUCGGAAGAGACAUAUAUUUUUUCUUUUUUUUUCGGGAGGGAUCCCUUAAGGAAUAACAGCAGGAAUUAUGGAAGGAAUCUUUGAAGGAAUCUCGGAAGCAAUAUCUGACGGAAUCUCGGGAAUAAACCUGAGAAGAUUCUCGAAAGGAAUGCCUGAAGAAAUCCUGGUAAGAAUUCCUGAAGGUAUCUCAAAAAAGAACCUCAGCUCAUCUAAUCUCAUCUCAAUUCUUCACCUUAUUCUUCAGCAUCUACCUUACUGUCUUCUUUGCCCUUUAUUCCAACCCUCUAUCCUACGCUCUAUCAUAACCUUUUUUUUUCUUCUAAACCAUAGGGGGAAAAUCUGGUCAACAGACACCCUAACAGAAGGUUAGGGUAGUGUAGGUCUGACAGGCCGUCUUCUACAACAAAAGUAAAAUCCAGGACUACUCUCUCCUCGUACCCACUAAACCAUUCCUAUGGUCGCCAAACCCUACGUCUCUCCGGAACCACCAAGAAGUUAUUGCGCGCAAACCCCAAAAUUUUAUUCCCACCUUUGGGUUUCCGCGCCGAGGACCCAGCGCCAGAUUCGGCGACACAGAGACAUGACAGCAGUUGCCGGACAGUUGGUAAUCCUGAUAUUUGACGGCGGUCAUCCGUUAGUUGUGAGAGUGGAUGGUUUUCAUGCAAAUAGAGCAUUUCGCUGAAAAUGCACGUGUAUUUAGUAAAUAUUGACAGAUUUCUUGCUGUGUUAGUGUGGAACUCAGUGGUUUGCUGUAUCGCGGAAGCCGUCGCUGGAAGAAAACGUCAUGAAAUUCAACGAAGCAUCGAAAAUUUUCUGUGAAAAAAGCAAUA